Molecule: ribosomal RNA, 525 nt
Filed under: uncultured bacterium
Lineage: Bacteria
Description: bacterial SSU rRNA
Rfam family: Bacterial small subunit ribosomal RNA
Source: RNAcentral
UGGAGCUUAACGAUAGGGCUUAAAAAUGCAAGUCGAGGGGCAUCGAAGGGUAGCAAUACCUGUCGGCGACCGGCGCACGGGUGAGAAACGCGUAUGUAACCUGCCCGCAACAGAGGGAUAACCCGGCGAAAGUCGGACUAAUACCUCAUAAAACAGGGGUUCCGCAUGGGGCUAUUUGUUAAAGAUUUAUUGGUUGCGGAUGGGCAUGCGUACCAUUAGGUAGUUGGUGAGGUAACGGCUCACCAAGCCAUCGAUGGUUAGGGGUUCUGAGGGGAAGGUCCCCCACACUGGUACUGAGACACGGACCAGACUCCUACGGGAGGCAGCAGUGAGGAAUAUUGGUCAAUGGGCGAGGGCCUGAACCAGCCAAGUCGCGUGAAGGAUGACUGCCCUAUGGGUUGUAAACUUCUUUUACAGGGGAAUAAAAUGAGAUACGUGUAUUUUAUUGCAUGUACCUUGCGAAUAAGCAUCGGCUAACUCCGUGCCAGCACCCGCGGUAAUACGGAGGAUGCGAGCGUUAUCCGG